UAUGGUCACAUCAUGUUGAAACACUGGUUCCAGUAUGAUCACCAAAGUUAAGCAACAUCGAGCCUGGUCAGUUUUCUGGAUGAGUGACCACUUGGGAAUACCAGGUACUGUAAG
This is a non-coding RNA of Acanthosepion pharaonis, 114 nucleotides long. The record is from the annotation of a GenBank genome assembly. NCBI's taxonomy places the organism in Eukaryota, Metazoa, Mollusca, Cephalopoda, Sepiida, Sepiidae.